CAAGCGGUGGAGUAUGUGGCUUAAUUCGAUGCAACGCGAAGAACCUUACCUGGCCUUGACAUGCAAGUGGUAGAACCAUGAAAGUGGGACGAUCCCGCAAGGGAAGCUUGCACAGGUGCUGCAUGGCUGUCGUCAGCUCGUGUCGUGAGAUGUUGGGUUAAGUCCCGCAACGAGCGCAACCCUUGUGUCCUGUUGCCACUUCCUCGAGAGAGGAAAGCACUCUGGACAGACUGCCUCGCUUAAACGGGGAGGAAGGUGGGGAUGACGUCAAGUCAGUAUGGCCCUUACGGCCAGGGCUGCACACGUACUACAAUGCCCGAUACAGAGGGAAGCAAGACCGUCAGGUGGAGCAAAUCCCAGAAAAUCGGGCCCAGUUCACAUUGUCGUCUGCAACUCGACGGCAUGAAGUUGGAAUCGCUAGUAAUGGCGCAUCAGCUACAGCGCCUUGAAUACCUUCCCAGGCCUUGUACACACC
This 475-nucleotide ribosomal RNA is filed under the name uncultured bacterium. RNAcentral's name for it is "bacterial SSU rRNA". It matches the Rfam family "Bacterial small subunit ribosomal RNA", at positions 926 to 1391 of the family's 1533-position model. The record is from RNAcentral.